Molecule: ribosomal RNA, 371 nt
Filed under: uncultured organism
Description: bacterial SSU rRNA
Rfam family: Bacterial small subunit ribosomal RNA
Source: RNAcentral
CAGAGGGUGCAAGCGUUAAUCGGAUUUACUGGGCGUAAAGCGUGCGUAGGCGGUUCAGUAUGUCGGUCGUGAAAUCCCCGGGCUUAACCUGGGAACUGCGGCCGAAACUGCUGGGCUUGAGUGUGGUAGAGGAAGGUGGAAUUCCAGGUGUAGCGGUGAAAUGCGUAGAUAUCUGGAGGAACACCGAUGGCGAAGGCAGCCUUCUGGGCCACAACUGACGCUGAGGUACGAAAGCGUGGGUAGCAAACAGGAUUAGAUACCCUGGUAGUCCACGCCUUAAACGAUGAGAACUAGACGUCGGUCAGCUUGGCUGAUCGGUGUCGUAGCUAACGCGCUAAGUUCUCCGCCUGGGGAGUACGGCCGCAAGGUUG